Molecule: ribosomal RNA, 475 nt
Filed under: uncultured Syntrophorhabdus sp.
Lineage: Bacteria; Pseudomonadati; Thermodesulfobacteriota; Syntrophorhabdia; Syntrophorhabdales; Syntrophorhabdaceae
Description: bacterial SSU rRNA
Rfam family: Bacterial small subunit ribosomal RNA
Source: RNAcentral
UUGGACGGGGCCCGCACAAGCGGUGGAGCAUGUGGUUUAAUUCGACGCAACGCGAAAAACCUUACCUGGGUUUGACAUGCCGAGUACCCGAUGGAAACAUUGGGGUGCCCCGUAAGGGGAACUUGGACACAGGUGCUGCAUGGCUGUCGUCAGCUCGUGCCGUGAGGUGUUGGGUUAAGUCCCGCAACGAGCGCAACCCUCACCCUUAGUUGCCAUCAUUAAGUUGGGCACCCUAAGGGAACUGCCGCAGUUAAUGCGGAGGAAGGUGGGGAUGACGUCAAGUCCUCAUGGCCCUUAUAUCCAGGGCUACACACGUGCUACAAUGGACGGUACAAAGGGUCGCGAACCUGCAAUGUGAAGCCAAUCCCGAAAAGCCGGUCUCAGUCCGGAUUGGAGUCUGCAACUCGACUCCAUGAAGUUGGAAUCGCUAGUAAUCGCGGAUCAGCACGCCGCGGUGAAUACGUUCCCGGGCCUU